Thunnus maccoyii (southern bluefin tuna) is the source of this 191-nucleotide long non-coding RNA. RefSeq lists it as uncharacterized. The record is from RefSeq and is a predicted model, not a curated record. The transcript has 3 exons. Lineage: Eukaryota; Metazoa; Chordata; Actinopteri; Scombriformes; Scombridae.
CAGGUGGCUAGCUAGGCUAUAAAUGCAAAAGUGAACAGUGCACCCCAUCCCAAUAUCCCUCCUUCUCUGCCUGGAGUUAUCUGACCAGCCAGCGACCCCGGCGGAUAGGUGUUCCCUCAACCCGUCUGUGAACCCAUCUCCUGCCUUCAGUCUGUUUUCUGUGUGAUCCACCAGUCACGCCAUCGCACUGA